AUUUCCCUCCAGCACAUAAGUCCAGGGCACCAAUGUCCUUACCACAUGAGCCAUCUUGCUGGUCCUGCUCUGUAGUUUUACAUUAACUUUUGUUUUUGUAUUGCUAGGGAUCCAUCCUAGGUGACCUACAUCACCACUGAAUGUCACCACUAGCCCUGGGGGCACAGUUUUGCUCUCCAAUUACGUAUAAAACCAUGGAGUGCCUUUGUCUCUUUUUGUGCAUGACCUUUAAAAACUUAUUUCUUUAUUUUGAGAUACAUUGUCUCAUUUAUCUUUGUAGCACUGGCCAGCCAGCCUGGAAUUUACUACUAUGUAAUCCAUAGACACCUUGAAUUUGUGGCAAGCCUCUUGUCUCUGCCUCCCAAGGGCCAGGAUUAUAAGAGUGUGGGAGCUCCCACACCCCACUGAAAGAUCUGUUUUUAUGUCAAGGUCACAUUGUUUGGGUUUUACAGUCUUGUAAUUUGUUUUGUGAUGUUUGGUGUUUGAAAGAGGGUCUUGCUUUAUAGCCUCAAACUAACCAUCCUCCUAUUUCAGCUUCUAAAUGCUCCUAUUAAAGGUAUGUCCUUGGUUGUAUGAUUUGAAACCAGGCUUGUGAUUCCCUCCCCUUUAUUUUCUUUGCUAAGGACUGGUUUAGCAUCGGGGGGUGGGGGGCUUUGUGGUGUUAUAUGAAUUUUUGGAGUUUCUUUUUUCAUAUAUAUGAAGACUAUCAUUGGUAUUUUUAUAGAAAUUACUUUUG
RNAcentral lists this long non-coding RNA (736 nucleotides) under Mus musculus (house mouse). RNAcentral's name for it is "long non-coding RNA chr1:132079235-132079971". Lineage: Eukaryota; Metazoa; Chordata; Mammalia; Rodentia; Muridae. The record is from RNAcentral.